This 492-nucleotide ribosomal RNA is filed under the name uncultured bacterium. RNAcentral's name for it is "partial 16S ribosomal RNA". It matches the Rfam family "Bacterial small subunit ribosomal RNA", at positions 29 to 507 of the family's 1533-position model. The record is from RNAcentral.
AGUGAACGCUGGCGGUAGACCUAACACAUGCAAGUCGAACGGCAGCACAGUAAGAGCUUGCUCUUACGGGUGGCGAGUGGCGGACGGGUGAGGAAUACAUCGGAAUCUACUUUUUCGUGGGGGAUAACGUAGGGAAACUUACGCUAAUACCGCAUACGACCUACGGGUGAAAGCAGGGGAUCUUCGGACCUUGCGCGAUUGAAUGAGCCGAUGUCGGAUUAGCUAGUUGGCGGGGUAAAGGCCCACCAAGGCGACGAUCCGUAGCUGGUCUGAGAGGAUGAUCAGCCACACUGGAACUGAGACACGGUCCAGACUCCUACGGGAGGCAGCAGUGGGGAAUAUUGGACAAUGGGCGCAAGCCUGAUCCAGCCAUACCGCGUGGGUGAAGAAGGCCUUCGGGUUGUAAAGCCCUUUUGUUGGGAAAGAAAAGCAGCAGGUUAAUACCCCGCUGUUCUGACGGUACCCAAAGAAUAGGCACCGGCUAACUUCGUG